This 1251-nucleotide long non-coding RNA is filed under the name Capra hircus (goat). Its description in RNAcentral is "lncRNA (ENSCHIG00010007866.1)". The record is from RNAcentral. Lineage: Eukaryota; Metazoa; Chordata; Mammalia; Artiodactyla; Bovidae.
AUGGAUCUGAGAACGCUGUCUGGGCUUGGUGCCAAGUGCUGGUAUUUCACAGCAGCGACCGCCUCACAGACGGGCUGUGGGAAGCAGGAGGGAGACUCUCUUAGGGUGCCACUACUAUGGAGACACAGCUGGGCUGAACAAGAUUUGCUUCAAACGACAACAAGAGAGACAGAAAGUAUCUGGUUCAACCGCUGCCCAAGCAGGCAGGCACCAGAAGAGCUAGCAGCCAAUCCGGCCAUGCUCGAAGCCAGCUCUGCAGCUCAGCCAAUCAGUGACAUCACUGGCCAUUGGAAAUUUUGUUGGGAUAAUCCUCCAAAUGAAUUUGAAGCAUUCUAUUCAAAUGACCAAAGAAUAACCCAAGUUUUGCCUUUGUCUUAACACUAAUGAAGGACUCACCACUUGAACUAGGUUAUUUAUCAUUAAAAUGGCAUUGUUAUGUGAUGACUCAGAAGUUAACAGUAAGUCUUAACUAUCUGAAAGAAGUGUCAUUUUAAUAUUGUACUAUAACAAGUCAUACCAUAUGUGGUAAUUUUUUUUCCCGUCUAAUUUUGUAUGUUAGUGUAAAGCAUAGAAUGUGACCAGAACUCUUAGACCUCAACGUAUAUUUUUCUGUGAAGCCAAAAUAUUUUUACUAAACUAUCCUAGUCAAUAAUUUUAUAUUUGGCAAGUAUUAGUGCAGUCCUGUUUUUGAGAAAAGUCAAUGAAAGUAUUUCCCUUCUAAUUCAAUAUCCUUUUUAUCUGAAACCAUUUUUCCUUUUGGUGCAAAUACUUACAAAGUCAGUAUUUUGACAGUAACAAUAUAUUCUGUUAUUUUUUUUUUUUUUCUGUGCUGAAAAUAGUUAAUGAUUAGGCUGGACUUAAGCAUCUGUCAGCCAGAAGACCUACUUAUUAAACUGAAUGAAAUAAGUGUGAUUAAAAAUCCUUUCUUUUUUUAUUGAGUUAUAUGACCCUGGUUAGCUAUACAUUUAUAUCUAAUAUAUAUUACUGUUGCUGUUUCAAAUUAUUAAUCUUCAUGUUUUUAAUAAACUAUUUUGAUCACCCAUAUGUUUUCUUCUGAAAUGGAUAUACACCAUAUAAAUUGUAAUGGACUGGAGAAAUUCUUUUGCUUUUUCUCAUGAUUCAAUAGAAUAAUUUUAAAUAUCUGUUCUGGCAAAACUGUCAAACAAGACUUUAAUGAAGUGCAAUUUUAAUGUAACAGAUUUUCUUUCUCUCCUGACAUUAAGAUAUACUUUUUACUUAUAACAUUUCUUA